RNAcentral lists this small nuclear RNA (123 nucleotides) under Tupaia belangeri chinensis (Chinese tree shrew). Its description in RNAcentral is "Tupaia chinensis (Chinese tree shrew) U4 spliceosomal RNA". It matches the Rfam family "U4 spliceosomal RNA". From Rfam's summary of the family: U4 small nuclear RNA (U4 snRNA) is a component of the major U2-dependent spliceosome. The structure of U4 snRNA from yeast and human has been reported. The record is from Rfam by way of RNAcentral. Lineage: Eukaryota; Metazoa; Chordata; Mammalia; Scandentia; Tupaiidae.
AGCUUUGCGCAGUGGCAGUAUCGUAGCCAAUGAGGUUUAUCCGAGGCUCGAUUAUUGCUAAUUGAAAAAUAAUAAAAAAUAAAAUCUACAUGACAGUGGAUUUUUUGUUGUUUAUUUAUUUAA